CCUACGGGAGGCUGCAGUGAGGAAUAUUGGUCAAUGGGCGAGAGCCUGAACCAGCCAAGUCGCGUGAGGGAGUACUGCCCUAUGGGUUGUAAACCUCUUUUGUCGGGGAGCAAAAGCCGGACGUGUCCGGCUGUGAGAGUACCCGAAGAAAAAGCAUCGGCUAACUCCGUGCCAGCAGCCGCGGUAAUACGGAGGAUGCGAGCGUUAUCAGGAUGUAUUGGGUUUAAAGGGUGCGCAGGCGGAUUUUUAAGUCAGCGGUAAAAUCGUGGGGCUCAACCCCAUCCAGCCGUUGAAACUGGGGAUCUAGAGUGUGCGAGAGGUAUGCGGAAUGCGUGGUGUAGCGGUGAAAUGCAUAGAUAUCACGCAGAACCCCGAUUGCGAAGGCAGCAUACCGGUGCACAACUGACGCUCAGGCACGAAAGCGUGGGUAUCGAACAGGAUUAGAUACCCCUGUAGUC
RNAcentral lists this ribosomal RNA (458 nucleotides) under uncultured bacterium. RNAcentral's name for it is "partial 16S ribosomal RNA". It matches the Rfam family "Bacterial small subunit ribosomal RNA", at positions 338 to 795 of the family's 1533-position model. The record is from RNAcentral.